Molecule: ribosomal RNA, 253 nt
Filed under: uncultured bacterium
Lineage: Bacteria
Description: partial 16S ribosomal RNA
Rfam family: Bacterial small subunit ribosomal RNA
Source: RNAcentral
UACGGAGGGAGCUAGCGUCGUUCGGAAUUACUGGGCGUAAAGCGCACGUAGGCGGCUUUGUAAGUUAGGGGUGAAAGCCCGGUGCUCAACACCGGAAUUGCCUUUAAGACUGCAUCGCUUGAAUCCAGGAGAGGUGAGUGGAAUUCCGAGUGUAGAGGUGAAAUUCGUAGAUAUUCGGAAGAACACCAGUGGCGAAGGCGGCUCACUGGACUGGUAUUGACGCUGAGGUGCGAAAGCGUGGGGAGCAAACAGG